Molecule: long non-coding RNA, 32918 nt
Filed under: Sorghum bicolor (sorghum)
Lineage: Eukaryota; Viridiplantae; Streptophyta; Magnoliopsida; Poales; Poaceae
Description: long non-coding RNA (SBIC_LNC015270)
Rfam family: tRNA (bases 11085-11157)
Source: RNAcentral
UCACUGUUUUUAUUAGGCUUGGAACCUAUUCCCAAGAAGAUAUAAAAGGGUCAUUUCAGCAAGUGGUAGUUUAAUUUCUAGGCUAGAUCUGCUCCUAUUUGUAAUAUAAGGAUUAUUACACUUUAAGUUUUCAUUGCCCCCAACAAACUUUCUCUAUGAUGGUUAAGGCCUUGUUUACUUUCACAUCGAAUCUUUAGACGCAUGCAUGGAGUAUUAAAUGUAAACGAAAAUAAAAACUAAUUGCACAGUUUGGUCGAAAUUGACGAGACGAAUCUUUUAAGCCUAGUUAGUCCAUAGUUGGACAAUAAUUACCACAAACAAACGAAAGUGCUACAGUGUCGCGAAAUUUUUCUCUUCACGAACUAAACAAGGCCUAAAUCUGACAAGGAAAGUACAAAAAACUUUAGACAUAUACUUCUCAUGGUGGCUACCAUCAAGGAUCGAUUGUGAGGGUCUGAUUGUCAUGGAAAGUCAAUCUUCCAUGAUGGUUAUAACUGUCAAGGAAGAGUUUUUGGGAUGGUUCCCUAUCAACUGCUACACCAUCAAGAAAGGUUCGAACCUUCAGUGUGGGUUGUGUCUGAAUCGUCACGAAACAUUUUCCUGCGUCGGUUUAAGGUGUUAGUAAAGCUUUGGUCCUAUUGGUACCACCAAACUAGGUGAUGUCUUUGUCGUAAGCCUAAAACCGUAAGGAAAUUAUGAUUUCCUUUGUCACUUACACAUUAAUUAAUUUAGCCAUUACAAUUAAUACCACAUAAGAAGAAAAACACAGAGAUAGAGACACAGACACAUACACACAGACACAAUGCCCACGCACCUCUCUCUCUCACACACAUAUAAUAUUGAAAAAAGAAAAAAAUAAUUUCAAAUUUCGUAACUGAAAUGGACUGAGUGGUACAAAAAUGUAAUGUUGUAAUCUUUUAAUGCCAUACCUUCAAAGAUGUGAUCUUUUAUUGGUAUACCACCGUCAAAUUCUUAAACAAUAAAAUUGCUAUUUUUAGCAAGAAUACAAUUUCUUUUGGACGGAUCGAGCUAUUUAUUGAUGUGUAGCGACAAGCAGCGGCUCUAUCUAUGGAUGUGUAGUGACAAACAGUGGCUGGGCCAGCCGCCUCUACAAAUCCAGUUUAUAGUAGUGUAGUCAUUACUCACCUCGCUAGUUGAAAGCAGACUGGCCUUGUUAGAUGUGAAAAUUUUUAGAUUUCGCUACUGUAGCACUUUCGUUUGUUUGUGAUAAAUAUUAUUCAAUCAUAGACUAACUAGGGUUAAAAGAUUCGUAGUCAAACUGUGUGAUUAGUUUUUGUUUUCGUCUAUAUUUAAUGCUUCAUACAUAUGCCGCAAGAUUCGAUAUGACAGAGAAUCUUGAAAACUUUUAAGAUUUCGGGGUGAACUAAACAAAGCCUAUAGUGGCCUUCCAAGACACGUUGGAUUGAAAUUAAACAAGGAAUCGCAGCGGAGAAUCAUAUAUAGAAAUAAUGUCAACCUUGAGUUUCUUCAGUUUCGAUCUCCGCUGCCUUAGCUUUUUUUCUUCUAAUUUUCUUUGCGAUGGAAGGAAAGGAAAAAUAGUGACUUUGUCCAACAAAUUAAAUUAAGACCUUGUUUACUUCGUGAAAAGAAAAAAGGUUUUAAAUAUUGUAGCACAUUUGUAAAUAUAUUAAUUAGUGUCUAAUUAUAUGGAUUAAUUAGAUUUAAAAGAUUUAUCUCGCAAAAUACAUAUAAACUGUAUAAUUAGUUAUUUAUAAAAUCUAUAUUUAAUGCUCCAUAUAUAUAUAUAUAUGUUCAAACAUUUAUUAUGAUGGAACGAAAACUUUUUAAGUGCGAACUAAACAUGGCCUAAACCAUGCAUCUUGUUGCUGCUGCUAGCUGUGGUCGAUGGAGUUGACAAGCAAGCAGUCGCCACCGUGCUGCAUUGAUCCACGAAAGUCCGGCGACAGCUUCCUAAUUUUUUUUUAGGGUCAGGUAAUUGUCACACUCACACCGACAUGCCUCGUCGCCAUGUUGGAGGAAACGAUAGACGACGUCUUAGCGGCAGCGGGCCGGGUCAUGUCGUUGUCGUGGUCACCUGGAGCAAGCAAGACUUUUGUACGUACUAGUUGAGACUAAUGUGAGUGUCGACAAGUUUAUUUGCAGGCACUCCGUCCGUCACUGGCCUAUCUAUCCGCCUAUCUGACCACCAUACGAGAGCUGCAGUGUAGUGGAUGUCUGCAUUUUGUUUCAUCGUCCAGACUCCAGAGUCAAAUACAAUACAGUGGCAGUACGAUGGUCGAUGGCCGUCUAGCUGUAAUCCUAGUACUAGCAAUGCCACAGUGGACUGGUGGAGCGAGCAUCGCAGAUGUCGGCAACGUAACUUCGUUCAUGUGGAUGCAAUCCAUUCGAAAUGGAUGCAUGCCAACAUGCAAAUAUCAUGCAGUUGCAGCCAGACAAGGAAUGAAGGAAGCACACUUGUGUAGCUACUAGCUUCAGUGAGAACUCUGAUGCAGCUUGCUCUGACUCCGAUCCUGUCCAGUGAUCACCUUGUUGGGCGGUUGGAUAUGAAUGCGAUCACAUCCUAUCCAUCUCCUAUUGCAUGCGUUGCCAAAAGUUGUAAAAGCCUCCCGUCGAUUUGGGCAUCUGGCCGGCCGGCAGAAUGAAUACAAAGCAGGGGAAAAUGUGCUUACCGCUAGUGUGAAAAGGCACAUCAGGCUUUGCUACAUACGAUACGAGUAUGCUCGUGCUCCUGGCGGCUGGCGGACCUUAGCUUCGUCCAUCAUCAUCAUAUCUUUUCUUUUGUGCCACCCUGAAUCCCACACACACACAGACAACAUAGCUUGUUCAACCAGCAAUUCAGCAGUCUGAUGAUGCUCAUCUUGCUGGUCAGCUGGUGACUUUAACAUCAGCUGCAUUGCAUGCCCUGGUGUAGUAUGCACAUGCAUGCAUAUAUGCAUCUCUCCAGUCUCCACUGCCGGUGCCGGCCGGAGAGCUACCCUAGCUACUGACUGACACCACUGCAGCAGCUCUACCGCGUCGCACGCCAUCGCACUCGCGCCAACUGUCAAGCUACUGUGCAUGCAUAUACACACACACACGCACGCACGCACGACACACCCAUCGCCUCCCGCUCAGUCCACUCCACGGACUUCCUUUCCUUUCAUCAUCGUCAUGGCCAGCGCCAUGGCGCCCGCGCAUCACCACCACCGCUCCCGCACCCCGCUCCUCCUCGCGAUCCUCUUGGCGGCGGCGGCGGCCGCCUCCGUGGCCUCCGCCGCGCGCGACCUCGACCUCGACGCCGCCAACCCGCUACCGGCGCCCGCAGGCCGAAACAACAAUCCCGAUCCCAACUACUACGGCUACGGCGCCGUCCCGGGCGUCGGCGGCCCGGCGGGCAACGGAGGCGGAUUCUACGGCGGACCAAGGUACGGCUUCGGCGGCGGUGGCGGAGGAGGCGGGUGGGGCGCCGGGUACGGCGGCUCCGGUGGCGGCGGGUACGCGCACGGCGGCGUGGAGGUGCCGACGGUGGUGUGCCAGGAGAAGGGCCCCUGCUACGGCAAGAAGGUGACGUGCCCCAAGAGGUGCUUCUGGUCCUACAGCCGCUCCGGCAACGGCUACGGAGCUGGAGGCGGCGGCGGGUCCUGCACCGUCGACUGCAAGGCCAAGUGCACCGCCACCUGCUGAUGAUCCGAGUACGUGCUAAUUAAGCUAGCUACCUGCUCAUGGGAGAUGGAUGUGCUAUGUGUGUGUUUGUACUAAAGAUCCAUCGAGCCCCUUGUGUUUGUUUCAGAUUAAUCUCAGAUAUGUUUAAGAACUACUAGUACUACUUGUAACUUAAUUACUGCUUAUAUGUUGUUGGUACCUACAGUAUACUGUACUUAUAUACGUUCCUGAUAAAUAAGGCGAUCUUGCAUGCAUGAUCGAUGUUGUGUAAUUAACGAUUUUUACAUGGAAUUCAUUUCCAAUUGAAGCUUCAGUAUACUAUAUAUCCAACAGGCAGGCUCGGUGUGUGUACAGCAUUGAUUCACUUGAAGACAUUCGCGCCAACAAGUAGCUGCCUUUAUGUUUUCCGAGGAACCGGAUUUUCAUUUCACACAUGACAUGCAUGUCACAUCCCUUCUUUUUAUCUCUUUAUUUAUUUGCUGCAUUAGCUUGUUGCACCGGUUGUAGCGGCAGCAAGUGUGAACAUAGAAGUUUUUUUUUUUUUUGAUUGAAACUGGAAGGGCCUCAGCCCUUACAGUGAGUUUUAUUGAACUAAAAGGAGACAGUUUGUACAUGUUAAAGGAAAAACGUUAAACGUUAAGCCAGGAAAAAAAGGAGAAUCAAGAGACAAAAAAGGAGAGGAAAAAGAUCAUAUAACUACAAUGCUCUACUGUAGCCUCUGAAUCCAUUGUUGAAAAGAUUCUGUUAAACUUUUCUUGAUUCUCAGGGAAAUCAGCCCUAGCUCUUGGAGGAACAUUGCCUUACACUCUUGAAGACCGAUCUGAUUAUUGUUGAAGAUUAGCUUGUUUCUGACCUUCCAUAUAGUCCAUAACAAUACUAUUGUAGUAGUCAUAAAGAAUUGUGAUUGAAGUUGAAUUCUGGCAGCUGCCACAUUUUGUAUUGAGCUCCCCCCUUGAAUUGUUUGAACAUUGAUGAAAGCCCAGCAUUGCCUAGCAAAGGCACAGUCCCAGAAUAGGUGCUCAACUGUUUCUUCAACUCUUUGAGAACAUAUUUCACAAUUAUAGGAUUCUAGGUUCAUAUGUUUCCUUCUUAGAAUAUUCCUCGCGCUUAGUCUAUCUUUGACAAGAAGCCAACAGAAGACUUUGUGUUUUGGUUGGCAAUGUGAUUUCCAGAUCCAUCUGUAAAUGGGCUCAGUGUUGUGCUGUCCUAAUAACAUUCUGUAUGCUGCAGCAGAACUGAACCCUUUUGACCUUCCAUUGAUGAACCAGGAGUCAUUUUCGUCAACCAGAGUAGUGCCUGAUAUUAUCUGCAAUAAGUCAUUUAGCUGGGAGUAUGCUUCUUGGGUGAUGGGCAGAUUGAGAAGCAAGCUGGCCGAGUUCAUUGUUAACGCUUUGCUGACAGAUAUUGUUUUCCUCUUGGCAAAAGAGCUUAGCUGUGGAAAUUGGUGUUCCAGGAUAUUUGGCAGCCAUUUGUCUUUCCAGAAUAGGCAUGUUUGACCAUCCUUGAUUUGAAUUGUGGUCAUUUCUUUAAAAUUUUGCAGCAGUUUAAGAUUAUCCCUCCACCAGAAGGAGCCUUUUUUGAUAUUACUAGGAAGUCUGCCAUUGCUGUAGUGUUUUUCCCAUACUAGGUGCACCCAAGGUAUGUCUUUCUUGUUAAAAAAAUUAUCUAAAUUUUUCAUUAGAAGUGCCUGAUUUUGUAGAUGCAGGUUGAUGACACCCAGUCCACCUUUCUCCUUGGUUUUACAGACUAUCUCCCAUGCAGCUUUAGGGGCUCCCCUACCAUUUAUGUUUGAGCCUCUCCAUAGGCAAUUCUUUCUGAACUUGUCAAUCUGUUUUAUCACAGCUUUGGGGAGUUCAAGAGUACACAUAUAGAAAGUCGGCAAAGAAGAAAGGACACCAUUUGUCAUUUGUAGUCUGCCAGCCUGAUUUAAUAGAGUUGAAAUGCCGCCUAGUCUUCUUUCACACUUGUUUACUAGCGGUAGGAAGUCCUGAAUUCUUGGUUUUGUGGUCCCGAGGGGGAGACCUAAAUAUGUGAAGGGUAGUGAGCCCUUAGAGCAUCCAAAAAUUCUGGCUAAAAGGUCUAAUCUUUCAUCAUUGAUGUUAAUAGGAACCAUCAUGGAUUUGUUGUAAUUCACUUUGAGCCCAGUUGAGUCCGAUGAGAGUUUUGUGAACAUCAAACAAAGAAACCAACCUAACAAAUAUAUAUGUUGAGAUGCAUGGCACCAGAAAGAGAAAUGGUCAAAGCUUUGUGAGGUCAAAUGAGUUUUAUGGGAUAAAACUAGUCUGCGUUGUUUCCAAUACAUGGAAGUAUCGAGAACUAAGAUAUGAAACCGGCACUAAGACUGACGUGUAGUUACAAAUCCAUCUAUCCAUAUUAUCCCAGAAUGGGCUAGGAUUUAAGGGGACAACUUUAAACCUAUAGAAUCAUAUAUCUCGAUUUUGAUUUUGAGAGUCGGUUCUUUAUCUUUAAGUUAAGCUAAAACUUGAUUGUGUAUUAUUGUACACUACCUCUAUCCCAAAUAAAUUAACUUGUAGCAUCACCUUUUUUUAAACUAUUCUGAUUUCGACCAACUUGAUAGUAAAGAUUAACGAUAUCUAUAUAACAUAUAACAUCCAAUAAGUGGGUUAUGAAAGUUUACACAUAUAUCAGAGUUAUGUAGUGAUUCUAAUUUGAUGUCAUAAAUAGUAAUACUCUUCUACAGAUUUAAUUAAAGUAAUUUGACUUAGGUCGACAACUUUGUAAGUUAAUUUAUUUCGAGAUGGAGAUAUUAUUAUCUAUAUGAACCAUCAUUAUUUAUUUGUCUAUUAGAAAAUAUAAAGAUUUUAUGUCAAAAGCCCAAUAAUAUAAGGUGUGAAGAAAAAAAAAAUAAGGAAGAAAAUAAAGGGCAUGGUAUUACAAUUAUUUUGUGCUUUUUCCUAUUAUGUGAAACUGUUUUGCUAAACGAGACAUCAAAACUACUUCAACUUCAUCAGUAAAGCUGCUCGUGGACCAAUUGUCAAUAAAAGUUGAUUCACUAGUGAAGCUGGGCCGUGUGCCAAACGGCCACUAUGGGCCUCUUUGGUAUGCAUUCCGUUGGAUCCGACUCUGGCUGACACAACCAUUGUAGCUUCACCGUAGACGAAAUAUGUUUUUAUCUGUCAUCUUCCCCUCUCCGGAUCUCAGAACUGGGUACACUAGGGAUCAUUUGGUAUCUCAUAUACAUAUUCAGAAAUCCAAUUUUAAGUAUUUGGAUUUAGAUAUGAUCAGAUUUAAUGAUAUUAGAUUCAGAUACAUAUACUAUGUAUAUAUAGUGUUUUGAGUAUUUAAGGAUGGAUGGAUGCUGGAAAAUAUCCAUCCCCUUUUCAUCACUAACUGGCCAAUAUCGAUGGUUGGAGACUAUUAGGGAUGGGAGGAAUCGGUGGAGAUGGGCCGCGAUUCUUUUGCUGUUUCACUCGGCGUGGAUGCAACGCAGAGCAUCGUGUGAUAUUCGCUCGCGUCUUUGGAACCUGCUGCUGCAACUCACUAUCUUAGUAGAGAGGAAAGCCAACACACAGCAGCUGCAGCCUGCCGCUGCCAAGCGAGAGCACGACGCCGCCGGCAAAGCUCGACGAUCGGAAGGAGUUGUUAAUUGGUUCAUAAUAAUUAAUUUAAGCAGCAGGUCAGGUCGACGAUCGAUAUAUUCUAUAUGUUAUUAUAUGCCUGAUGUCUGAUGUCGUGUACGUACGUCUUUGGAUCGAUGAUCAAUCUUGCAUAUAUACAGACCGACGACAGAACGCAUGCAGCAAGAGAUAGAUAGAAUAUAGCUCUAGACGACGCAUGGGCAUGGCCAAUCCGGUGAGCAUCGUGCAGGCAAUCAUAGACUUGGCGCUCAAGAUCAAGAAGGAGGUGGAGACGUUUCGGCACAAUCGGGACGACUGCCGCAAGAUCGGCGAGGUCGUGGCCACGGUGCGCGCCGUCGCAGAGGGCCUACGGAAGAGCGUGGAGGAGGAGGACGGCGGCGCGUUGGUGGGUGGCGCGCUCAAGGCUCUGAAGCAGGCCCUGGAGCGCGCCUGGGAUCUCGUGGUCGCCUGCCAGAGGAAGAACGCCGUGCUCCGUGCCCUGGAGGCCGACGCCAUCGCCGAGAAGCUGCGCCGGGUCUGCCUCGACGUCUCGCUCAACCUCAGCGCAGUGGUGCUCGCCAAAAUUAUGGAGAUUGUUGCUGCCAUUCCGGAUGCUCACCUGCAUCUGCGACAACAGGUGCGUGCGUGCGUGUGUGUGUGUGUGUGUGUGUGUGUGUCUGUAUGCAGAACUACUGUACGUUCUGCAGCUGGAGUAUAUCUAUCGACUAUCGUACUUGAAUUUAUUUCUCUAUUAAUUUCAGGUCGCAAGAUUGGUGCAGAGUUUCAGUGAUUCAACUGAUGACGAUGUUAGUUAUUAUCAAAAUGGAAGUACAAGGGAGACAAAGAAAACAGAUGAUGAUGCUAGUUAUUAUCAAAAUGAAAGUACAAGGGAGCCAAAGAAAACACAUGAUGUUGCCAGGUAAGCUAUAUGCAUAUAUACGUGCUUUUCUGCACUGUAGAAUACUGAACACUGUUUACUAGUCGCAUUUCGAUAGUAUUCAGUAUCUCGGUAUUGUUCAAUAGUCAUAUUUCAGUAGUAUUCGGUAUCUCGGUAUUUUGACGAUAUGAAUGAUGUUUAAUAACGUGACUACGAACAUGUUUUCUGCUGACAAUAAUGUAAAUUUCAGGUACUCCACCUAUUCCCCGAGCUACGCCUAUCCGGUAUGCACUCUUGCUGUGCCGUUCGUUAUCUCUGCAUCUAGUUGCCAUUGCCAUCCACGCCGUACGUACUGAUCCAUCUCAUCUCUGCAUCUGCAUGUGUUACAGAGCUACUACGACUACAAAGCUCAGAGCUACGAUGGCUACCAGGGAGCCCAACGCCAAUACGACCAACAACGCUAUGGUGCAUCUGGCUCCUUGGGCGGAGGCGCGACGGCACAAGAGUUCAUUACAAACUUCCAGACUGUUGGGAACGCUUACAUGCAGAACUACCACGCUUACCAACAGAGCUAUGAUCGCUACCAGGGAGCCCAACGCCAAUAUAUGGCCACUGUCCCCUGGGACCAACAACGCUAUGGUGCUUCUUUUUUAGCUCUUUGGGCGGAGGCGCGACAGUCAACUACCCAGGAAACUACGGGCAUGUUUGGUUCAUGGCCACACAUUGCCAUGCCUAACCUUAAGUAGUAGCCACAAGUGUGGCAAGCCAUAAACUGUGGCAAAAACAAGGUGUUUGGUUAGUGACUAAGGUUUGGCAAAAUAAAUGUGGCUGCUGUUUGGAUAGUUACCACAAAAGCAUGGCAAAAUAUUGUGGCAUGUGUUUGGUUUGCAACCACAAAUGAAUGAAAAAUACCUCAUUGUCAUAGUAGGAUCACACUCAUUUUUCAGAGAACAACAUAUAUAUACAUAUAUGUAGAAGGUUUAAGCCUAGGAGAUUUAUAUUACAAUACUAAUUACAAAAUCAGCAACUAGCCAAGCAUGGCUCAUUACAGCCCAGGCAAAGUGAGCACACAUCCAACAUGCCAUCAGUCUUCACGACAAUCAAACUAAGCACAUAAAUAAGUUUCUGGGCACACAAUAUGAAACUCAGGGGAUGUCUGGUUACCUCGUCAAUGGCCUACCCCUACCGGUGGUGCUCUCCUGGCACACAGAGGCGCGCGGCCCUCCUGCGGUGAUGGCGUGGUGGUCCGGCGAUGCACGCGGCGCCCUCAGGCGACCCCACAGCGGCGUCCUCGCGCGGCCUCCAGGCAGCGUCCUCGCGCGGCCUCCGAGCGGCGUCCUCGCGCGGCCCCGAGCGGCGCCCUCGCGCGGCCCCGAGCGGCCUCCGAGCGGCGUCCUCGCGCGGCCCCGAGCGGCGCCCUCGCGCGGCCUCCGAGCGGCGCCCUCGCGCGGCCCCGAGCGGCCUCCGAGCGGCGCCCUCGCGCGGCCUCCGAGCGGCGCCCUCGCGCGGCCCUCGCUCGGCCCUCCGGUGGCGCCUGCGCUCCGUCCCCUUCCCUACGGCCGGUGGAGGCGGACAGGAUGAGGAUGAGGAGGAGUCGGGGCGGGUGCGGUAAAAUACUGGGCGAGAUGCCUUUUUCGACGCGGUAAAGGCGCGCCACGGAGUCUGUGGCGGCAAAAUCGGCCGCCAAAGCCCGCCACACUUUACUUUCGUGAAAUCUGUGGCGAGGGCGGUUUCGUGGCUGUGGCGACCUUACUUUUGCUCUGAACCAAACACCUACCAAACAUGAUGUGGCGAACUUCAGUUUAGGCGUGGCAGCCUGUGGCCACGAACCAAACACGCCCUACAUCUUUGUGGGCAGUGGCGGAGGACGAAAAAAAAUUAAGGUAGGGCGAGGUAAGUCGAGCUAGCUUGUGCACAUCAAAUUUAGAGAAUGAAUCCCUCGGGUCAAGUCGUCAAGACAAGAAAAGGAAACAAGCAACUCUGAAGAUACCUCGUUAAACCUUUGAUCAAACUCUAUGGUAAUACUAGCAUCUAUAGCAGCAUAAAAGGUAUCAACACGAAAAUAAUGGUCAGCACAAGGAGCACUUGGCACCAGGUGUUUUGCGCGAGUACAGGAAGCGGCCCAUGUUCCAGACACAGAUUGAUUCGGGCAACUACGAUCAUUUGCCAACAGAGUUGAAGCCCCUUGGCAGGAUAUUCUAACCGUAGUGAUCUUGUUCUUGCUCCCUUUUCUUGAUCUUCCAAAUCCUGUCACUGAUUCAUUCAUAUUUGGUAUUGGAAUAUCAUUUUCACUGCAGAAUUUUGUGGCUUCCUGUAAUAGUGGCUCCCAACCAUCAUUCCUCAAAUUCAUCAAAUGUGUUUUCACAUCAAUAACCAAAGACAUGGCUUGAACAAUAUUUUGAUCCUUCCUUUGCAAGACAAGAGUCAUUUUGUGAUGCGAAGGAUUUGCAACAUCAUCUUCAUGAUGAACACAAAGCUAAACGACUCCAUGAUUUGCACUAAACCUCCUGCCCUACUUGGAUUACGCUCAUCUUCAUGCACAAUCUGUAGAACUUCAGUUACUGAAUCCCACAUUGAUUCAAGACGAAGUAAUGUCUUAUAAUGAGAACCACAUCUUGUAUCUCUAGGUCUAGUCAAGGAUGUUGCUUGAUUUUUCCCUCUGCCCUGAAGAAAUCUCUCCACUGCCCAACUUACCUAAAAGAAUUCUGCAUUGCUUAUCUAGCAACACAUCCUUCCUCUUGCAAGAUGAUGUUGUGUUAUUCACAAUCAAGGUCACAUAAAAUGGAAAUGUAUCUAGCUAAUGUGCAGUCCAGUCCAAUUUAUUGCGCGGUCCACAAAACAUAAGCCCACAAGGCAACGUGAAACACUAUUUCACUAAUAAUAAAGCGUCAAAGCCCAACAGCCCAAGGCAAAGUGCCGUGGUAGGUCAUGGUAGUUCUGGACCCGAUUCCGUGUUAGGUCAUGCUUAAGGCUAACUGUAGUUGUAACAAGAAGCAAAACGAAUAGGGGAUGUAGCUCAAAUGGUAGAGCGCUCGCUUUGCAUGCGAGAGGCACGGGGUUCGAUCCCCCGCAUCUCCAUUUUUUAAAAAAGAUUUUCCUUUUUACUUAUUUUUUCAUACUAUAUAGUAUAUUUAUAUGCAUGUAUCAAUCAAUUACAUAAACAUAUGUGCAUUGAGCAUAUAAAAAAAAAUUAAUUUUACGGGCGACGUACGUAGGUAGCUGAAUGGCUGUGUGAAUGCAUGCAGGAUAGGAUGCUGUCCAAUGCAAAGGACCAAAAAAUGCUUUGCGUCCGAGGGCAUGCGCGUCGUCGGUCAUCUCUGACCCUACGGAUGGACAGACAGGGUCAGCUACUCCGGGUCAGUCAACGCCUUUGAAUUGAAUCAUCAUCACAUUCCAUUCCAAUUCACGCGUGUUGGGACAUAUAAUUUUUAAGAUUCAAAAAGUUUUUAAGAUUCUUCGUCAUAUCGAAUCUUGCGGCACAUACACGAAACAUUAAAUAUAAACUCUAAAAAAAUAACUAAUUACACAGUUUAACUUUAAAUCACGAGAUGGGUCUAUGGUUAGAAACUAAUUACUAAAUACAAACGAAAAAUACUACUAUAGCCAAAUCUAAAAUUUUUUGGAAACUAAAGCCUUGUUUAGUUCAUCCUAAAAAUCAAAAACUUUUUAAGAUUUCCGUCACAUCGAAUUUUGCGGCAUAUACAUGGUGCACUAAAUAUAGAUAAAAAUAAAAACUAAUUGCACAUUUUGUCUGUAAAUCACGAGAUGAAUCUGUUGAGCUUAGUUAGUCUAUGAUUGAAUAAUAUUUAACAAAUAAAAACAAAAGUACGAAAUUAAAAAUUUUUGAGAACUAAACAAGGCCUAAACAAGGUAUGAACCCAACGGCUACUACAGCUACAGCUUGAUCAGCCUCAGCCUGCUUGACCAGCCAUUGCAAUUGCAAUUGCAUUGCAUCCAAGGCGCUGCUGCAGUCAGCCAUGAGGUCACGCCGACGCCGGAGCCCAUACCGCACGCGCGGAUACACGACACUAUGCUCAUCGAUGAGCUCAUUAUUACACGUGUAUCGCAUUGGUUGUCAGAAUAAGAUAACGACCCGUGUACUAUUUCCAAAUGAACAAUGUUGUUUUUAAAUAAAUCAACAAAUGAUACUUUCAAUUAUAGUUUUUGGGUAAAACGGACGAGGACAAAACACGAUGGGAUAGAAUAGAGGAGACCAAUUUCUUAUUGUAUUUUGGAAUCGAACGGAGGGAUCCGAGUGAUAAUUUCACAGCAACACCAGAUGACAACCAAUUACCACUACUGUUUCUUAAUUUAUUACUAGUACUGUAUUACACACCUACGUCUAUCUAUCAUACAGAGACAGUAAAAUUAAAAGGCGAUCGAAAGCUAGCUCCAUCUGCUGCUUAAUUAGGUUUCCUCCUCCUCCUCCUCCUUUUUUUUGUUUUUUAUACGUAUUAUUUUAGAAGGAAAAAAAGAUUGUAUUUAGAAGGAAAAAAGAAACAAAAACAAAGGAUGCUAAUUUCUUCGUCCUCUUUUCCGUCGCACACAGGCAGGAAGCUAGCUAGAGGAAAGCGCCGUGCUGGGGCUGCGCCGCCGCCGCCUCCACCGCGCCGGCCAUGGGGAACGAGAACCACGGCGCUGGCGCGCCGUACACCGGCUGCUCUCCACCGCCACCACCGGGGCGCACGGGCUGCGGCUGCACCGGCGGCGGCGCCGCCACGCCCGCGCGGUGGUGCUGGUGCUGGUGCUGCGGGCGGCGAAGGGCCGUGGGCGGCGCGCCGGUGAGCCUCUGCACGAGGUCCCGGAACUCCCGGGGCUCCACGCGGUACACCUUGGGCGGCGGAGGAGGAGGAGCUGCGGCUGCGGACGCUCCUCCGCUGCCGCGUGGCCACGGCCGGGCGUUGGCGGGCGGCUUGUUCUGCGCCGCGGUCCUCAGCGCUGCUGCUUCGUGGCCCUGCGGCACCUCCAUGACUUUCUGUAUGCUUUGCUUGCUUGCUGCUGGGGUUGGAUUGGAAGAACCAAUUAAUAAGAAGGAAGUAGCUGAGGGGAGGAGGGGUUCCUGGAAGUGCAAAGCCGGAGAGACAGAGAGAAAGAGAGGACUCGAGAGCGUGUGGAGUGUGUCAUACAUACAUAUUUAUAUAUAUACAGCUCCUCUGGAUCCCCUAGCUUAGCUAGGCUCGUCGUCGUCGUCGUCGUCGUCGUCGUCGUGGUGUGUAGGAUGGGAAGGUGGUGGCGGGCGAGGGCCAGAGCGACACAGACACAGAGACAGACAGACGACGCACCACCGCCACGUGGUUGGAAUUCGAUCGAAAUUAAGGAGGUGAAUGAAUGGGACGGUCAAUGCUGGAAGGCGCCCGCCCGCCGUGAGAAUGCCUCUCUCCCUCCUCGAUCUGUCUGUCUGCUCCUCUCUCUCUCUCUCUCUCUCUCUCUCUCUCUCUCUCUCUCUCUCUCAAGCAUCAUCAAUAAUACUGUAAUACUGUAAUCAGCUCAGGGAUGGAUGAUGACAGGCUCAUGAUCAGUUGGCCGCCGGAGUAUAGAUUAUUUGCAUGUUGAGGCAGCUAGGUGUUUCCUCAGAUGCAUCGCCGCCAUAAUAUUCCAUCACCACCUGGACCUCGGUGUCACCGACCACCUAAGCUAAACUGUACUAUAGGCUUAGGGGUCAUCCGCUUCGAUGCGGUGCUGAUGUCAUGUCAUAUUCCUCACCUCCUCCGACUACUACUGACACAUUUAUGGAAUAUUAAAUAUAGUCAAAAUAAAAACUAAUUACACAAUUUGUCAGUUAAUUAUAAGAUAAUUUUUUUUUAAAAAAAAUCUAGUUAGUACAUGAUUAAUAUUUGUUAAAUAAAAACGAAAAUACUAAAGACCGAAAUUUAAAAUAUUUUCACAACUAAAUAAGGCCACUUGCUUCCGAUCCUCGGCUGCAUGCCUCCCUGCCGAAGUGGACGAUGAUGGAUGCUUCCUUCUCUCUUUUAUAAUGUCCAUCAAAAUAUAUAUGAUCAACUACCAAUCAAAUUGGUCGACCAACUGCUUAGCCACUGUCCACAACCUGGUCUUUAAUCAAGUUAAACUCUACUAUAUGAUUUCUCUCUUCAUACAAAGUGUUUACGUCAUUCUCCACUAAGUGAUCCACUAAAUGAUGUUCUACCUCUUCGUACAAGGUGUCUACAUCAUUUUCCACUAAGUCCAUAUCAUCCCAUAUUAAUUACAAAAAAAUGGCCAUGUCAUCUAUAUCAUGUGAAAUACAUUAAAUCUUUAAUCUAUUAACAUAUAAGUCAUGUACAUACAAUAUUUGUUUUAUCAACUAUUUCUCUAUAUAUAAUGUAAUCAAAUAUUAGUUUUUCUUCUACCAGCUUAGCAAUUUUUACUAGAUCUGAUACAAUAAAAUACAUGCAAAUUGAAUUCAUAUAUAUAUAUAUAUAUAUAUAUAUAUAUAUAUAUAUAUAUAUAUAUAUAUAUAUAUAUAUAUAUAUAUAUAUUAAAUACUAUAUAGUAGUACUAUAUAUGUAAUGAUUUAUUUUUAAGAAAAUUUCACAGCAACACGCGAGGAAUUACUCAAAAUAGUAGUUUUAAAACAAAUCUUUUGCCUACUCCAAUAAUAGUUUUCUUCUUUAUUGGUUUGUAAAAACAAACGUGCCGUACGUUGUUGAUGUAGUAGAUGCAUGCAGAGCCGACACAACUCCCUGCUAUGGUCAGCCAUCCUCGGUUUUCCCAAGCGCAGAUGGAUUGGAAGCUAGUAGGGUAAUUUGUUUUUUUUUCAUCAUAUAAAAAAAAACAAGAUUAAUAUAUAAUGGAAGAGAUUCCCUAAAAGCAGAUCAGAUACGGCAGGACUGCUGGAUUGUUGAUCACGCCCGGCGCGCCGCCACAGCAGACAAAGAAUAGUAGACUGGACCAAAACUCGAUCCUGGACAUUUCCAUCGUCGGUUGCGUCGUCGUCGUCUCAGCAGCAUUAUUAUCACCCAGUCAAACAGAGGUGGCUACGUACCUAGGAUAGUCUACCAGUACCACAACACGUUCCAUGCAUGUAUGACACUUGUGAUGUAGUUAGGCCUUGCCUGUGUUUGAUGGACACUCGUGUGUAGUAGGAAGCAGUAGCAACUAAACCUUGGAGGGCUUGUUUAGUUCACCCCAAAAACUAAAAAAAUUUCAAGAUUUUCCGUCACAUCGAAUCUUGCGGCACAUGUAUUAAACACUAAAUAUAGAUAAAAACAAAAACUAAUUACAUAGUUUGCCUGUAAAUUGCGAGAUGAAUCUUUUGACCCUAGUUAGUUUAUGAUUGGACAAUAUUUACCACAAACAAAUGAAAGUGUUACAGUAGCGAAAUCCAAAAAAAUUUUACAUCUAAACAAGGCCUUAUAUAAGAAACCGCAAUAGCUAGAUGUUUAAAUAGUUUAAAAUAAACUAUAAGCUAGACUACUAAUUUAGAUCAGUUAAACCUUUUUAACGGCUUGCAAGUUACUCCAUUUCAGUCAAUCCAAAUGUCGCCUUGCUUAGUUGCUUGCUUCAUUCACUCUAACAAUGUACUGUACGGAGUAACUAUAAUAAUAUCUCCACACCACUUUUUCCUACUUAGGGCCUAUUUAGUUUCCCAUUUGAGUUAAUUGGCCCAUCCUUUUGUAGAGCUAAACACCAUCCAAAACUUUUGAUAAAAUAGUUACCAUUUUGCAUUCUGAAUUUUGGCCUCAUGUGAACAAAAAAACCCCAAAAGGGUCUUCAAUACUCCCACCUAAUCGUAAAAAUUUUGGUAUUUUGAUGAAACUUAACAUAACUCUAAAAAUUUUGGUAUUUUAUAUUUCAUUGUUCUAAAGUAAUUGAUAUUUUGUAUUUUAUAUUUUAUGGGAAACUAAACAGAGCCUUAUUAAGAUAAGAAGGUAACUAUAUAUAGUAAGUAAAAAUAAGAGAGGACACAAAGGGAAGGAGGUGACGAUGAACGGUAUAUGUAUCAAAGAAAAACAGGACCAGAAUUAUUGGAAGCUGUGGGCCUACAAUCUAGCAUUAUUAAUAAAUAACAUAUUCACUUAAGGUUAUUUAUCGAAUCUGCUAAUAGUAUUUUCUUAGUAAUGGUGUUUCGAACAAACGAACAUUUAAAAUACAAUACAGGUCAAUUCCCAGCACGGCACUCGGUGGUAGCAGACCGGAACUUGCAUAUAUACUACCAUCGGAUGGGUCAUGCAUGUGCGUCAAAUUAAACAAAUAAAAUACAAUACUGAAUGAGCAAUAUACUAAACAACGCAGCAGGUGCAGCGCCAUGCAUGUUUCACGUGUUCAAACAAAGACAGUACAGGUCACGACAAUUUUCUGGUGUCCUGGUUGUACUAGUGUUGGAGCCACUUCAAUAGGGUGAAAAAUUUUUCAAGAUUUUCCGUCACAUCGAAUCUUUAGACGCAUGCAUAGAGUAUUAAAUAUAAACGAAAAUAAAAACUAAUUGCACAGUUUGGUCGAAAUUGACGAGACGAAUCUUUUGAGCCUAGUUAGUCCAUAGUUGGACAAUAAUUACCACAAACAAACGAAAGUGUCACGAAAUUUUUCACUUCGGCUACUAAACAAGGCCAGGCUUCCUAGAAGGUAUUUAUAAUACAUUCCAUGUCAACAAUAUAAUAAUUUGUAUGUAUUAAAUUGAGCUAAUGUCAAAGCAAUAUUAAAAUUAAAGUGAUUUGUGGCUUGAACCGUUACGAAGGGGUACGAGAUUAAAGACCGUUUCCCCUGCCCGAGUUCUCGUGACACGUACAGUGGCGCCCUUGGAGAGACAUGUGGGGGAGGGUCGGCUUGAUGGCUUGAUGGUGAGCCGCAACGUGAUUGUGGCCGCCGCUCCCGUGCCUGCCACGUGCUGCGCCCAUAUAUGUACGCGCACAUGAGGUGCGCAACCACCACAGCUCACGGCACACACACACGCAGGAGCCUCCUCCACUGUUUCUGCCCCAUUAGUAAGGCUGAUUUAGUUUAGCUUGGCUCGUUAAGAUAGGGAGCCAGUGGUGCACGUACGUGUGUGUGUGCGCGUGCGUGUGGAUCGUAGUAGACCGGACUCCUCACACGAGUCAAGGCCCCCAACAUACGCCGGACGACGACGACGCGGCUUCGCUUGGCUUGCAUGGCAUCCAUUUCUAAAUUCUGCAGUCAAACAAAGACGCGCGCGCCCGUCAGGCAUGCAGUUAUAGCUUUUUUUUUUUGGGUUCAGCAGCCACGCACUGACGCACGCGGCGGCUUCUCUGUCUACGUAAGCAGCUGCUGAGGACGUAGUCCUAAAAUUUUCAUUCAGUUUCAACAGUCCACUGCAUGUUUCGAUUAUGGAAUGCAUGAGAUCACCGAUAAUUGUUUUAAAAAAUAUAAAUAAAGACGGGAUGAGCCUUGAUACUUGUGGGUCAUUGUCCGUGCAGCGAAUCAGCCUUUCUUGCCAUACGUAGAAGUCGUUUAGGAUAGCGAUACGGUCUCAAAAAUACAACUUUGACCUUUUAUUUUUAUAUAAAUAUUUAUGAAAAAUGAUAUAUGUAUAUUUUUAUUAAAAUAUUUUUCAACAUAAAUCUAAUCAUAUAAUUUUUAUUUUUAAAAACUCAACAAUUUAAAAGUUAUUAUGAUUUAUAUUAUCGAUGUUUGACUCAAAUCUUGUCCAAAACGACUUCUAAAUUCUAUAUGGAGGGAAUAAGCAGCAGCAGCACACAACCCUUUUUUGUUUGGAAAAAAAGUCUACUUUCCCUCCCCCAACUUUUAGGAAAGUUCGUUUUUCCUCCCUUAACUCUAAACCAGGCAAACCACCUCCUCAACUUUUCAAACCGUGCAUUUUACCUCUCUAGAGUGGUUUUGAAGGCGGUUUUGCUACAGUGAAUGGUGGUUUUGUUAUAGUGACGGUGGUUUUGUCUAUUUAUUUUUUAAUUAUUUCAGCCGAAUCUUUAAAACAUCAUAGUAAAUCACAGAAAAAUCGUAAAAUAGAAAAUCCAAUUUUUUAGACUCUACAUAAGUAGAUCUACAUAGUGAAUAUAUAAUAUGGUAUGCUUUAGUAUAAAGUUUUUUCUAUAAAGGUUUUGUCUUUUUAUUUUUUUAUUUGGCCGAAUCUUUGAAAAAUCAUAGAAAAUCGUAGAAAAUUCAUAAAAUAGAAAAUCUAAUUUUCUUGGACUCCAUAUGAGUAUAUAUACACAAUAAACGUAUAAUAUGGAUAAACACCUAAUUUUCUCUCCCCCAAUUUUUCUAUUAUUUUUCUGUAAUUUACUAUAAUUUUUCAUUAAUUUAGCCAAAAUAAAAAAAAAAAAGACAAAACCUUUAUAGCAAAAACUUUGUACUAAAGCAUACCAUAUUAUUUAUUCAUUGUGUGUAUCUACUUAUGUGGAGUCCAACAAAAUCACUUUUUUUUAUUUUAUGAUUUUUCUAUAAUUUACUAUGGUUUUUUAAAGAUUCGGCCAAAAUAAUUAAAAAAGAAAAAGGCAAAACCACUCUCACGGUAGCAAAACCACCGUUCCUUGUAGAAAAACCGCCUUCGAAACCGUUUCAGGGAGGUGAAAUGCAUAGUUUGAAAAAUUGAGAAAGAUGGUUUGCCCGGUUUUAGAGUUGAGGGGGGAAAAGUGGACUUUUGCAUCCCACGGCAGGGUCCCCUGGGCCGGCCUAGCAACGUUGUCGGAUUUCGCCCAAGGCCCAUCACACCGACGUUUGCAAAUCAUCAGAGGAGUAGGGUGUUGCUCCAAAAAAGAAAAAAAAAAUCAAAGGAGGAGUAGGUUUAAUUCGACGAGUUACUUGGGGUAACUCGUAAAUUUAUUUAAACCUAUUUGCAAAAUUGGACACGAAUAAACCUGUAUACACAUUCCGCCGACGCAUGCAUGCAUAUAAAGCAGGUAGGUAGGUACGCACGGGCAGGGGCAGCGUGAUGGCCAUGGCGGUGUCCCUUUCUUCUCCUUCAAUUCGUUUGGUUUCCAGCCACGUAAAUACGCACGGCAUCGUGAUCAUGACCAUCCAUCCGUCCGUCCGUGCAACGAUAGGAUCGGAUGAAUGAAAAUGACCCUGCUUACCUACGUACGAGCUAGCUAGCUAGCGUUUGCACUUGUGUGUGCGUACGUGUACGUAUAGUACGUGCAAAGAUCUGACUCCCAUCCCAUACUUGCAUGUACCUACGCCCCGGACGGCAAUGAACGUACCUAGACUUUGAGCAUGGGCGAAGCUAGCAAUGAACGAAACCAGUGUGGUGUAGCGGCAAAAUAAUACCUAAAUAUUUCUUGUGAUAUAUAGUAUGGUAAAUAUUAGUCAAAGUACUAUUGAAAUUUGCCUGUUUAGUAGUGCUAGCGCACUAGGGUAAUAUAACAUAAGAGCAACUCUAGUAGAGCGCCCCUAGUUUAAGCUCUCGUCCUAUAUUUGAGAGUUUGAAUAAAAAAAUACACUCCAAUAGUACUCUUCUAGAGCCCUUAAAUUUGAGAGGACCCUCAAAUCCUCCUACCACCCCUCAUUCCUAGGGUCCUAAACCAAGCCAUCAAAAGUUUGUUUAUAUGGUUUCCCGUGCGUGCUAUACUUCCCGCUCGCACAUUGCUCGACCAGGAAGGAAGGGGCGCCACCGGAUCAGAGACACGCGUACCUUGCAAACCGGCAUCCCUGGUGUCUGUCCCUCCAUGGCGACCACCCAUCUCUAGCUUCUUCAUUCCCUCCUCGGCGAACCAAGCAAAUAGAAGUGUGCAUCGCCAGAUCUAUCCACGUGGUUUCUCUGACCCCCUCCUCGUCGAAGACCAUCUCUUGCGGCACCCUUCCCUCCGCAAACCUCCCUCGUGGCACCCAACCAUACGUGGCCGAGUUCCUCAAUAUGAAAGAGGAUAAGAAAGAGAUUCACGGGUAGGUCCUAUGUAUCAUUUCCUUUAAGAAUGAAUUUAAGGGCCAUGUUUUCAGGAUUCCUACUGGCACUGCAGGAGUGACGAUGAUGAGGACGCUAGGUGUGGCCGCCACUCGCUAGUGACGACAACAACUCGCCGCCAUUGCAGAUGUCAGCGAUACAGACAUCGCCCCCGGUAGUGCCCUUAGGGCUUCACCAAUGGAAGCAUAUAAACUUAUUAGCCUCAACUAAAAGCUGCAGUCCACAUAUACAUCAAACAUCUAGGCUUCCAAAACUCUCAACCCAACAACACCAACAUUUGAGCAUGACCCCACCGUUUUUAUUCUCUGCAUAAAGUUGUUUUUGCCUUUGCGUCAUGUUUUUGAUUGCUUGAGACCCCUCCACCGCGAAACUCAAUGGCUGCCUGCAGCUUUUCUCUGACGAGGACAACGGUACCUCUGCGAAGCAAACAAUAAAUAUGAUAUAGAAGCUUUGAUCUGAUCUGGACACUGAAACUCCCAUCCAACAUGGCGCGUUGGGGAAGCCCUUACCCAUAGUUGUCUACCUAGCUGACACAGUUGUUGCACGGGAGAUGAAGCUAGCUGACACACAGUUUUUUUUUUAAUGAUUGUCGGAAGCAACCAAAUCCAGUAAAGUAAAGAAAAUAGAUGACGAUCAAACUGGAAGGGACCAAACUUCAGACAACUCGAUCUUGCGAGCUCCACUCUCUCUCAGAUGGGCUUGGUAACGGCAUAUAUUGACCAGAAUGGUCAGGGGAAAGUAGAGGGAAUGUGCAGUACCGUGGGGGCCAACGAUAGCCUUCUCUCUCUCUCCAUUUACCUCUAAUUUAUCUCGAGGAUAUUAUAUUACCUCUACCCGUAUGUAUCUAUACUUUUAACAACGUCCGCAAUCUCAUUAGGAGCGAAAAGUGAACCAUUUGACUGGAUUCGAAGUCUUGUCUCUCUUGUGUCUCCACCAUCAUCCCUGACUCUCAAUCGUCAAGUGUGUCUCUUAUGGAUAGUUUGGCUAGUUCUUGCGUCUCUUUUGGUGUCGUCCCCUAUCUCUUCUAUAUUUUCUCCGUCAUAGCGAGAGCAUCAAAAAGACACAAGAGACAAUAUGAUUUGUAGUAUACGUAGCCCUUAAUUAUCGGACUCGAUGUAACUAAUCAUGAUGAUGUAGUAACCGUGGUCAGUAUAAUUGUAUUCGACGAUGAAGCCACACAUGCAUAUACAAGGGCUAAAAUUUUGUGCAAUAAGGGUGGAUAAAAAAAUAAAUGACAUUAGUAUACACUACCGGAAUCCGGCUCUUUACCGAGUGUCUAGUGGUUUGCCAAGUGUUUUUUAGGUACUCGGCAAAGAAGCUCUUUGUCGAGAGUGCAAACAAAAAACACUGAGGCAAAAAAACACUCGGCAAAAGAGGGUUCUUUGCCGAGUGUCAAAAAAAACACUCGGCAAAGAACCCUCUUUGCCAAGAUUUUUUUUGACACUCGCUAAAGACCUCCUUUGCCGAGUGUUAAAAAAAUAGUUGACAAAGAAAAUUUCAAAUCAAAUUUUGAAGCCCUAGAUAAAUUCAAAUCAAAAAGUUUUAAACUACAAAGUUGUAUAACUUCUCAAGAUCUACAAUCUUUAUUUUAACCAUUUCUUCAUUUGACAAAGUGCAAAUAAAUUUAUUCACAAAUUUUAUAUAAGAUUUGUGAAAAAUGUUAGAAUUAGUGUGUCAGAUGAAUAAAUGAUCAAACAACAAAAAUAAACUUUGUAGAUCUUGACAAGUUAUGAAAUUUAUAGUUUACAAUUUUUUCAUUUAAGUUUAUCUUGUCAUUCAAAACUACAUCUUUAUUUAAAAAUUUUUAAAUUCAAUUUUUUGAAAUGGCCUCGGAUGGAAAAACUCCCUAAAUAAACUUUGUAACUCUCAAAAAGUUAUGAAACUUUUUAUUUGAUAACUUUUUGAUUUGAAAUCAUCUUAUCAUGGAAAACUAUAUCUUUAUUUGAAAAUUUUUAAAUUUGAUUUUCUAAAAUUACCUCGGAUGAAAAAACUCCCUAAACAAACUUUGUAGGUCUCAAAAAGUUAUAAAACUUUGUAGUUGAUAACUUUUUUGAUUUCAAAUUAUCUUGUCAUGUAAAAACUAUGUUUACAUUUCUCAAAUUUAAAAUUCAAAUUUUGUAAACGACUUCGGAAGGAGAAACUCCCUAAAUCAAAGUUAUAGAUCUCAAAAAGUUAUGAAACUUUGUAGAUGACAACUUUUUGAUUUGAAAUAGUUUAGAGACUCAAAUAUUUAAUUUAUAUGUGAUUUAGUAUAAUAUAUGAGGAACCGAAACGCAAUGUAGACACAAGUGAUGGUAUAAUAUAUGAGGAAUCAAAACGCAAUAUAGACACAAUUGAUGGUGUGGUGUAGUGGUUAAGGAGUGAGGUGUGUGAGAGAGGUCUCAGAUUUGAAUCCCACCUGCGGAAUAAUUGCGAAUUUUGUGCGAAAAAUGCCAGAAUGGUAGCCCUCCCCCAAAAAAACAAAAAUAAAUCUUAUUUUUUUCGAGUUUUUUUCAUUUUCAUUUUUGCCGAGUGUCAGACAUUCGGUAAAGUUUUUGUCGAGUGUCCGAUAAAAAACACUCGGCAAAUACCCCUUUGCUGACCAGAAAUUUGCUGUGCACUCUUUGCCAAGUGUAUUUAGGUCAUUGUCGAGUGCUAGAGACACUCGGCAAAACCUCUAUAUCCCGUAGUGAUAUAGCUUGGUAGGAGUUAGUACAUGAUUGAGUAGUAUUCUAAGUUCACUUGAAGUACAAGUUGUACAGCGUACUAGAUCUAAACGAAUUAGUGUACCCUUAGGAUACUAUUUCUAUCUCUAGUGAUGCACUUGUAACACAGUCCAUCAGCAAAACUAUACCUCUUAUAAAGCUACUAAUCUCUACUACAAAUUCUAUCUCAACAUGCAGACCACCGAUAUCAUGUCCCUAUCCAUAUCAUCUGCAACUAAUAGCCAUCCAUAUUAUCCCACUACUUUUCAAUAUCUUCAUACAAGUUAUCCACACCAUCUCCACUAAAUCUUAUUCUAAAAUUUCCACAAUAUUCUCUACGUGGCAAUACACAGGGUAUCUUCUAAUUAUAUAGAUAUAAUUAACGCUUGCCUUUUGUUGUGAUGUAAAAAAUAUUGGUUGUUAAUUAAUUUUUUAAGCAUCAAGAUUAUACCGGUAGGCACUAAUUGAAAUUGUAGAGGCAAUUAGAUUAAAUUAAUGAUGAGGGAGGGAGGGUUAGAAUUAGAUUAUUACGUUAGAAAUAUGUGGACAGAUUUUAAAUGCUAAAAAUGUGUAUAUUCAUAGACGGAGGGAGUUCUAUAUGCGGACGAUAUUGAUUUCAUAUUGUGGAGCUGUUAAAAAAUAUAUAUUGUAAACAAUGUGCAUCGUAGGAAAUACGGGGGUAUUUAACCUCCUUUAUUAGGCUACUAUACAUACAUGAAAAAUGGAGGGGCUUAUUUGGAAAAGGAAAUAGAGAGAAACAAGUGUAUUGACUAGUAACCACUGCUUGCUGAAAACUGUUUGCCUGUGAUCGCUGAUUCUGAUUUGGACUGCACCGGUGCAAGGCCUCCUGCGCUGCCUGCCUGGCAACGCACGCCGGAGAGCCGCGACGCCCCCCGUCCACCUCCUCUCCCCUGCGUUGUCUUCUCCGUCUCUCUCUCUCUCUCUCUCUUGUCGCCGCCGCCGCCGCUGGCUGGAUUAAUCGGUCGAUCGCGCCUGCCGAUGCAUGAGUUGCUGAGCUAAUCGAGCUGAGGCCGCCCGCCGCCCUUGAAGAAGACGAAGGCGAAGACGACUCCUCCCAGGCCGGCAGGCCCUCCUUCUUUCUUGAUCGAAUUGAAGCAGCAUCUCCCAUGGUACGGUUCCAUCCCUUCCCACUCUGCUUGUUAGUAGUAUCACCACUUUUUUUUUUUUCCGACCCCUGCUGUGGCGUGGUGAUCUCAUCAUCUUCUCCGCCGUCGGCCGUCGCACCGCGUGAAGCUGCGUGCGUUCGUCAUCUUUAUGCGUUUCUUGACGCGUCGCCAACGAAUCCAGGAUUCCUGCGAUCUUCGUCCCUUUCCCUGCGCCGCGCAACGAAAAUGUUUUUUUUUUUUCUUGGGUCCUUCAUUCACAAAGAAAACCGCUGUUCCAUUCAGCUUCAGUUCAGAAAUAACCGCUGCUCUGCUGUUACAACCUUCCUUCACGAUCGACCAAUCCAAAGCUCCCAUCUUCUAAUUCCACAGUCUCAGCAAUUCUCAAUUUCCCAUACGAAUUCUUGUCUGAAAAAACAAAAAAUCUCUCCUUUCAGCUGAUCGGCAUGCCGCAGGGAGCAGCAGCAACAGCCGUGGACAGCAACGGCAAGGACGGCGGCGGCGGCGCCAACCCCACUAGCACGGCCCGGCCAGCGGCGGCGCUGCCCCUGAAGCUCCUCCGCCCUCUCCUCCUCUUGGCGGUGCUGGGCACGGGGUUCCUCGCCGUCGUGGUCCUGUUCCUCGGCGGCCCGACCUACUCGGCCAUGCUCCCGCGGCUGUCCCUCGCCCCGGACGCCGUGCUGCCUGCGCCAGCGUCGGCGGGGAAGGCGCCGCUGGACCGGUGGAAGCGGGCGCCCGCGUCCGCCUGGCACAACAUGACCGACGAGGAGCUGCUGUGGGCGGCGUCGUGGCGGCCCAGCGUCCGGCGGUACCCGUACCGCCGCACGCCCAAGGUGGCCUUCAUGUUCCUCACCCGUGGCCCGCUGCCGCUCGCGCCCCUCUGGGACAGGUUCUUCGCCGGCGCCGGGGACGCCGCCCUCUUCUCCGUCUACGUGCACGCCACGCCGGGUUACCGCCACGACUUCCCGCCGGCGUCCGCCUUCCACCGCCGCUUCGUGCCCAGCCAGGUACGCCACGCCACGGCUCCUCUUCGUUGACGUGUGCUUUUGCUCGCAAGUUUCUGUUUCGCUUUGACGAUCCUGCCAACCAUGUCCGUCCAUGUUGCACGGCGCGAACGCGAGCGCGACGAUGAAAAAUAGGCACGCACGGUGUGGUGUGGUGUGGUGUGGUGUGGGUCGUGGAAUGUGGAUGGACGCCGGAUCGGAGAGGGGGGAAAUUUUAGUCAGAGCUGAAAAUGACGGCCAUUUAAAAGUGCUAGCUAGUCUUUCUCCGUCCUGUCCUACAUACCAGAAUUUCAGAUGCCGGUCAAGUUGAUGCAGCGCAACAAGAUGAGAUGGCAUCACCAUGGAAUCUUCGCCCUUUGACAUGAACAAUAUAAUCUCACAUUCACUUUCACUUUCUAGUGCUUUGCUAUCUAUGAUCACUACUGAAAAUUCUCUGCUUUUUUUUAUUUCCAAACGCAAAUUGUACUGUCAUUAGUAGAAGAACACUGAGCUGCCACUGCCAUGCCACUGACUGACCAACUGCACUGCAUAUAUACAUGAACAAUGACAGGUGGCUGAGUGGGGCAAGGCGAGCAUGUUGGACGCGGAGCGGCGGCUGCUAGCGAACGCGUUGCUAGACCCGGCGAACGAGCUCUUCGUGCUGCUCUCCGAGUCGUGCAUUCCACUCUACGGCUUCCCGGCGGUGUACAGCUACCUGACGCGGUCGAGGGCGAGCUUCGUCGGCGCGUUCGACGACCCUGGGCCGGCAGGCCGUGGGCGGUACCGGGCUGGGCUGGCGCCGGAGGUGCGGCGGGAGCAGUUCCGGAAGGGCGCGCAGUGGUUCGAGCUGGACCGGGAACUCGCCGUCGACGUGGUCGCCGACGAGCGGUACUACCCCAAGUUCCGGGAGCACUGCCGCCCGCCGUGCUACGUGGACGAGCACUACCUGCCGACGGCGCUCUCCAUCGAGGCGCCCGCGCGGAUCGCCAACCGCAGCGUCACGUGGGUCGACUGGUCCCGCGGCGGCGCGCACCCGGCCACGUUCGCCGGGAAAGACGUCGACGAGGCGUUCCUGAAACGGCUCACGGCGGCGCCCGCGAAGCAGAACUGUACCUACAAUGGCCAGCCGUCGGAGGUGUGCUUCCUGUUCGCUAGGAAGUUCGCGCCCAGCACGCUGCGGCCGCUGCUCAGGCUCGCGCCCAAGCUGCUAGGAUAUGGCUGACUGUCACUGUCACUGUCACUGCUCUGCUCUGAAUCUGAAUCUGAAUUUUCUCACAGGGAACCAUACUCUGCUUUAACAACUUUCUACUAGUAUGACUAAACAGAUGUGGUUGAUUGGUAUAAAAAGCUGCUCUAGACCCCAUGAUCGUCAUCAUCCAUGUAUAGAUAUAAUAUACUAGCUCCAUGGCUUACACAAUUACACCAGCGGAACAUCAGUUUUUGGCUCAAAGGAAGAGUGUUGAGAAAACAAGCAAAUCGAGUGUUUCCACACAUAUCAAGGCCUGAAUUUUAAACCAUCACAUCAGGAUCUGACCUCCAUCUUCUUCUUUUUUUGAAUAAAUGACCACCAGAGUAUGCCUAGUUUCAUUUAACAGAGUAGAGGCAGAGUAGAGUGCAUUACAACCCGUUCAACAUAUGGUGUGACGUUUCUAUCGAUUGCCUAUAUAACAGGCAAACUGGACUAUGAGGUCUACCCUCUUCGUGCUGGACUAUGGUGUUAUGCAAAAUGAGCAAGGCGUGACCUCCAUUUAUAGUCCCUAGAUUUUCUGAUGUGCAUUCCUUACCUGAAAAAAAAAAUCAUCCUUUUUUUUUGGCCGACUGGGAUGCUUUGGUUUGAAACGUUUUCUUUGCCUCCUUAAAGCAGCGACAUGUAUAUUAUUUGUGACAAGUUGGACCCCAUGAUUGUAUCUACGACGUUUGUAAUGUUUAGAAGUUAGGCACUUAAACACGGUCUCAUAGCAGAUGAACCAGCCUAUUAUAUUUUCCUAUUUUAUCUUUUUUUAUUUUCCUUUCUUUUCUUCUAUUUAUAAUUUUAUAUUUUACUUUUUGUGAUGUUUAUGUAAUAUACAUGUAAUAUUAUAUAAUUAAUGUAUUUUUGAGAUCGGCGAGUACAAAUGUGAUAUUCUAUGACGUAUUUUGUGAUGUUCAGUAAGCAUACAUUGAUAUUCUAUGAUAUAUUUUGUGAUGUUCGGUAUUAUUUUUCUUCUUCUUUUUUUACUCUAGUUAAUCACUUCACUAAUUUUAUCAUUUUAUUUUAUAUUUUCAUGAUAUUUGUGAUGUUCAUGUAUUAUACAUAUACUAUUUUAUGAUAUAUUUAGUGAUGCUUGUGUAAUGUUAAUGUGAUGUUCUAUGAUGUAUUUGUGAUGUUCGGUAGUAUAUAUAUCGAUAUUCUAGGAUAUAUUUUAUGAUGCUCGGUAGCAUAUUUUUCUUUUUAUUUGGCUAUAAUUAAUUACUUCACUAAUGACAUGGCCAGUUAAAGUAAUAUUUGUCUUAAUUAUCGAUAGUUUAUUUUUAUUUUUUAUUAAAUAUGUGUUAUAUAUGGACUUGGUUGUUUCAUUUUUGUAUGUUAUUAAAUAUUUGUUGGCUUUCAAAUACUCCAGCACAUAUUGUGUUAGGAUUUUGUUUUCAAAUGAAUUCAUUUAAGAAAGUGCAGCCUGGUCUUUAUAAAUUUUACUGUUUGUUACUUAAUACUUAUGAAUUUCUCAUUGGGCUUUACCAGCCAUUAAAAAAGCCUUUUUUUUUUAUUCAUUUGUAUUUAGUUCUUUGAUUUUAUAGCAAGACGUUUGAUUGCACACGGAUAGUUCUUAGUAGAUCAACGUGCAGUAUCUUUUUAAUAUGUACUAGUUUACUGAAAUCUUUGAUGCAGACUAUAGUGCACUCUCUUUGCAGCUCAUUGAUUGAGACUAAAACAUGCAAGUUAUACAAGCAUAUAUAUUACUUGAAAUGUUAGAAAGCAAUAACAUUGAUUUUUUUUGUUUCUGUGUUCAGUCAUCAGCCAAGUUGCAACAUAUACUUCACUAGUGGAGGGCGCGCGCCCUCGCGCGCGAGGAUGGACUAUGAUUAAAAUUAUGAGUAUGAUGCACAUGUUGUAGGCAUUAUCAUUUGCAUCGUUAAGGUACCUUCACUGAUAUAUAUUUGCAGAAUAGUUAUAAAGUACAAAGGUGCCGUUAUAUGGCAGUGGCAUUGGUAGUUUACGGCCUACCCUACAAGGUCGCUGUAAUUUACAAAGUGCAGGGAUGAUUUCGAGCCCUUAACAGAGCCUUAAAAAAUCACCAUCUGUGAACCCAUAUUGAAGUCCCAUAUAAUUGUUGUAAGUGAUUUUGUAGAUUCACCUGUAAAAGGAAACACAUGGUUCUUAUCAGUUACGCUAGAUGGAAAAUCCCAAAGUGGACAAAUUUCUUUGUAAAUGUUAAUAUAAUUUGGAAGCAACAACUAAAGUUCAUCAGUAAACUCUAAUCUGUUAUCUGAUUGGCAUGUUUUUUCGUCAAAAGUCCUAUAGUCUACAUUUUUGGAUGUUUGCCCAUGCAACUACCAUGUAAUCUUUUUUUUAUGACCAUGCCCUGCCAUUAUAUGUAAUCUGAUAGCACGAAAUGAAAGACAUCUUUUUUGUCCUUCCAGUAAGGUAGGAAACAUGCGACUACUCAGUGCUGUAGAUUGACGUAAAAAGCCACAACAUCUGCAACUUUGAUCUAUAUGGUCAGUAGCAUGAAAAUGGCACUUGAUCGGUGAAGCUACCAAAGUGCUAAAAAAAUUCCACUCACUUCCCAUCUCCCACAGCUUGCAUACAAAUGUUUCAUAUUUCAAGUAGUAACUAUCAGUUUGAUUGCUUUAGCCAUUAAAAUGUAAGGCAUCUCAAAAACUAAAUUCAGUAACUAUCCUAUUCCGCAUCAAGUGUGCUGCAUACUGGAGGUACUUAUAGCAUCAAGGAAAAAAAUGAUGUCCAAAUGAAAAUGAAGAGUCAUAAUGAUAUGAGGAAAUAAUAGCAACCUGUAAGUUUGCAAAUCAAUUGAAAUAGCAAUAGUGAAAUUCAGAUUUUGGUUGAGAAAAAUACCCAUCGAUUCAUUGCCUGCAGUCUUGAUCUAAAGUUGUUUGAUUUGAAGAUGGGUUCAUCAUUUGUAGUCUUGAUCGCUUGAAUUAGCCUGACACCUCAAUUUUCGCAUGUCCCUAAUCGUGGUUCCGUUGUUUUGAUUUUUAAAAUGCCAACAGUGAGCGAUUAAAUAUGAGGACUCUGACGAAGCUUCUAUUUUAACAAACCAUGGCUACAAGCACAUAAAAUCGCUGAGUCUCACUGAAGCACAACACUGCAUAGGGCAACCACAAUCUGCACCUUGUAUGCUCUGUCCACAGAAAAAAGAAGAGAGAACUGAGAAGGGAUUAAUUUACAUUGACAAGCUUGGGGGCAAAGAGAUUUACUGCCAAUACAAAGAGAAUCUGCUUUGGGUCAACCAAUGAGGAAGAUCAAAGCCAGGUUUUCAACUUUUCAUCAAAGAAUUGAGAUGUGAGCAAAGGCUAUUAUUCUUUCUUGAACUACAGCAAUUCCACCAGCGACAAGGAUGAAGUGGAAGACCUUUUUUUAUUAGGAAAAUCUCAGACCGGUCGGGCUUAAAUCCCAACCAUAGAAUCCCUCCACUAAAUUAAUGAAGCAACGAAAAAAUACUACUCUUGUAGUUGGCAUCAACCGGAAGGAAACCGCUGUGCAAAAUAUGAAAGCCAUUGCUAACUAAGCACUGAAAUUGUAGUCUUUUAGUAUAGGCUUCGAGAGUAGCUCUAAUUUUCUUAAUGAACCUGCUAAAGAAAAACAUUCAAUAUAAUAUGCAUUGCAGUAAUCUUGAAAAAAAAGGCCAAGGUUGGCAUGAAACAAAGAAAGCAUCAUGCUCAAUUUCUGAUAGCAAUCGUAGCAGUUUCAGAGUUCUCACUGAACAAAAAGUUCCUUCCUAGCAACUACUACAUACUCAAGAACGAGAGUAUGCUAGGGUUUAGCAAAAAAGGGAUUGUGCUAUAUAAUAUUUAGGUUCCCCACAAAUAGAGCAGUUCAGCUGAAAAGUUGAUUUCCAUUGAACUGCCUAGUCUAAAUGGAACUCAGAUAAGAUGAAUCUGAAUAUAUAGGGAAGCAGAUAGCCUCCAAAGAUAUGUCGAAGGUCAUUUGGACAUAAGUCAUUCCUUUUUUUUUCAAGGUAACCCAUUUUUCUUUAGUGACAGGCAUCAAUUUAUUCAAGAAGGGAAAUGCCAUUUUAAGUGGGAAAUGCCAUCUAGUUCACAGGGUAUACAUGUGAAACAGAUAGAUAAACUAUGAAUUUAAUGUGGAUUUUUGGUUCAUAAAUAAAAAGAACUACAAAGAAGAUACAUGGUACCUUCUGUAAGGUGCCAAAGGAAAGUUUCCCAUGUUUAGUUCAGUGAUUUGAUAUAACCUCCUGCAUAGUAACACACUGAAAUGUGAUGAGAGAAAGCAACCAAAGAGGAUACUCAAGGUAAUCAAAAGGAUGUGAUAGUUGCAAUUCAGAAUAAAUCAAAUCGCUGAGUGUGAUGCAUGUAUUUUCAUGGUUUACCACUCUGUGGUGAGCAAUAAUUAAAUAGCACAAAUAAAUUUCCCUAGGAUUUCUAAUCAAAUAUGAUCACAUACAUCUGCAGGCAACUCAAAGAAUAUGAGGUUCACAAUUAUUACCCUAUAUAGCUGGAAACAUCCAUGACAAGGCUUAUACUGCAUUUGUUGCUGACCAGGGACUUACAAAGGGUUUUGUGAAGGAAAGAGGGAGUUAGUAGCUGCAUUGUUUGUUGAGCCUAGGCAUGUAAAUCUUGUAGCUAAGGAAGUGCACGCUACAAGGAAAAAUAGGGAUUCAGAACAAGGUCAAACAGAGAAGGACAUAGUAUAGAAAAUGUAUGUACUAAAUGAAUCCAAAGCGGCAAAUGCCAACAUAUCUUUACCUGUGUUAGCAACCCAGCAACUCAUAAUUUAUAUAACGGUGAAUAGAGUCAUAAUUUAUAUAAUUAUUAUAUAUGCAACAGUUCAGUACACAACAUGCUGUUCAGUCAACUAAUAUAGAAGCAUAUAAGCUUCUUGAAAGUUCCAGGUGGUCUUAGCUGACUAACGAAGCUAGAAAAUACACUGGCAAACUGGUGCUACCAAAGGAUACAAUUGUUCGGCUAAUAUACAUAACAGUCUUCUAAUCUAGUGUUCUUACCUCGGAGGUAUGUUCUAAUAAUACAAAGAGUUUAACAUGCACAUGACAUAUCAUUUAUUUUCUUCAUGUGAAGCAAGUGCCUGUGCAUAUCACAAAAAUGAUGAGGUAGACAUUUUGUCGGUCCAAGAUACCUGGUGCAAGAAACAGAAAUUUAGUGGAGAGCUAAUGAACAUGAGAUAAGGAUGAUCGUGUAAAAGGAUAUUUAUUUAUGAUGGAAAGGGUUUAUAAUAUUUCUAGAUCACAGAAGCAGAGGGUAAUUUUGCAGCCUGGGACAGAGCCUAUAGUACACAUUGCCAACUGAUACUGGUAACAGUUUUGAAGUAAGCAUUAGUGCGCAGGUUUAGUUUUAGUAGGGAGAAUGGAAACUGAUCAAAAGUGAUGUGUUUUUUUUGGAUCAAUGCUUAAGAGGGAAAAGGGAUAGGGCAUGGUAAGCUAAUUGAAUCUAUUAAUCACUAAUUAGUUUUUGUGCAGAUAUAGUAAAUUUUUGGCCAAUAAUAAUACUAUUGAUAUAUAAGAUGAAACAUUUCAAGGAGCCAUCAUAGAAAUGGUCAUAGAAUACUUUUCAGAAACCAGUUAUAUUUUAGGUGACACAGCUGUUUUGAUGUAAGAUACGCUACGUAAGUAUACUGCAACCAGCAUACUAAAACUUUGUUCGAAGACCAAAAUCUCACUUUCUUUUUGAGAGCACAAUUGUACAGUAUUACUUGUACAGAGCAUGUGUAUAGCCUGAACACAAUGCUGAUUAAUAGGCAGUGAAAGCAAAGCCUUUAUCAUAGACAAAGAAUUAAUGUUCAUGUAAACUGGUCUAUGACAUUUACAAUGUACAAGAAACCAACUAUGUUAACUAUCUGUGCAUUUUGAUUUCAGUUUAGACUUUAGAGAACUAUUUUGCCUAAAAGGGAGGCAUCAGAUAUAGUAAGCUAACCAAAUUUGAUCACAGAUAGGAGAAAGAGUCAAACCUGACGUUAACUACUGGAACUCUGCAGUUCGUUGUUGUGCUGAGACUGUAGGCCACCCUUGUCCGAAAGUUCCGCAGGUCGUUAGCAGUGUGUCAGCUGAUUCACUUAGCCAGCGUUAGAAAACAGAAGAUGCUCUAGUGAAACUGAAAUAAUUCUUAAAGAAAUUUGAAUCAACUUCAAGUAUUUGAGUUGUUGCCAAGAGCACAAUAACAGAGAACAAGAACUAAGCAUACGGAUGCACUAUAAACAACUACUUUAGUCAUACUGCCUUACCAACUGAAUUUAUAGCAGUUCAAAAUUUAGUGAUAAGGGACAUGCAAUUAAAUGGCAUGAAGAUAGUAUAAAACAAGGUGUAAUUUUAGGAGCAUGAAAUAGGAUUAUUUGUUUAUGCUAGGCCAAUUAUGCUAAGGACCUUACAGAAUUUGAAGCUAACUGAAUAGCAUAUUAAACACGCAAAUCCUGGAACAUCAAUAUCAAGUUUGAAAAGUGCAGAAGGUAAAACAAAAUCCAAAAUAAAGCUCCCAGUUAUAGCAUUUUGGAGUUAAGCUCCUCACGUUUCCAUUUAGUGUAAAAGCAUGUUAAGUCCUUCUUCAUCCUCUUACUUGGUAUCUGAUUGGAUGCACCUAAAAAAAUAGAAGACUACUGAUAUUUGACAUGUACACAGUACGAUGAGUAAAUAAAAGUCACACAAUCAGGAUGAGAGGUUCUCAGAAUAUUUGGCUUUUACCUAACUGAAGAAUGUACAACCCUAUAGAACAAACUAACACCCAAAGUGAAUGGGUCUGAAGGAAGUACUAAGGCUCAGUUGGAUAAGUGGAGAGACAGAGCAAGAUAAUUAGGAUGUAAAAGAGAGGGGCAAAGGCAAAGCACAAGCUAAAACUGCACAGCAAACUACAAUGAAAUGAAGACCAAAGCUGUAAUAGGUUAACACAAACAAGAUUCAUGUAAGGCUGAUAAGUGGAGCUGAACAGAUAUAAACAAAUGCAAAGUCAAUUUUGAACAAAAUAUAGUUAUGGCUGAAGCAAUGGGAAAACAAUGGAAAAUAAACAAGGCUCACAUAUGGAAGGUAAAAUUGAGAGGCAUAAACAUACACAC